Molecule: long non-coding RNA, 3058 nt
Organism: Nycticebus coucang (slow loris)
Lineage: Eukaryota; Metazoa; Chordata; Mammalia; Primates; Lorisidae
Exons: 3
Source: RefSeq, a predicted model, not a curated record
UUCAUAUACUUUACAUCAUAUACUAAUAAUUCUCACAAAAUCCAUAUGUAUUGAAGUAAUCAUUUUAAAUUAGAUGAAUUUGUGGCACACAAAGGUUAAAGUAAAAAUUACUGGGGUAAUUUAAUUACUGGGGUCCAAGAUAUAAAGAGACUUUUUUUUCAUUCAGUUUAUAUCUGCAUCUACUUCUAUGUCUAUAUCCAUAUUUAUGUCUAUGUAUUUUUAGGAGAAGGGUCUUUGCCUGUAGUCCUAAUUAUUCUUCUAUGGCUAAUAUCCAGAAUCUAUAAAGAACUCAAACAAGAAAAAUAACCCUCAAUAAAAAGUGGAUAAAAGACAUAAACAACUUUUCAAAAUAAGAUAGACAAAUGGCCAAAAAUCACAUGAAAAAAUGCUCAAAGUCACUAAUCAUCAAGAAAGUGCAAAGUAAAAUCACAAUGAGAUAUCACUUUUCUCAAUGACCUUUAAAGUCCAAAACAAGAUUCUUACCUGGCUGCAGAGAGAAAGGACUGCUUAUACACUGUUGGUGGGACUGCAAAAUAGUACAAACCAUACGGAGACUCCUCAAAGAACUACAAGUAAACCUACCAUUUGAUCCAUCAAUCCCACUACUGGAUAUCUACUCCAGGCACAGACUGACAAAUAUUGAAUGAUCUCUCUUAUGCUUGGUAUCUAAAAAAAAGUGGAAUUCAGGGAAGCAGAGAACAGAGUGGUGUUUGCCUGGACUGAGGAAUGAGGGAUUAAGGAAAUGUGGCUCAAAAAGUACUGUUUCAAAUAAAUAGAAUUAAUAAAUUUGAGAGAUGUAUUGUACAGCAUGGUGACUAUAGUUAAUAACCCUAUAUACUUGAGAAUUGCUAAGAGAAUACACUUUAAAUGCUCUCAGCAGAAAAAAAAAUAAGCAUGUUUGUUGAUGGAUGAUGUUUGCUAAACAUAUGUACAGCAAUCAUAAUGUUUUAGUCUCUUUGUGGGUUGCUAUUAAUGAAUACCUGAAGCUGGGCAUCUGGAAAGAAAAGAGGUUUGUUUCGAUUUUUGAAGAGACGGGGGAGCGGAGGGCUCGUCUCAUCCAGGGGCCCUGAACCAAGGAGCGCGGAGUUUGAAAAGCCAGCAGCUCGGGGUUCGGUGGCACCCGCCCCAUCGGCCGAAGUUGGGGGGGGUGGGGCGCCAAGCGCGCGGGGUGGGGGAGGUCCUGGUCUUUGGCUUCUCUACUCCGUCCUGUUUUAACAGCGAACAUGUCGCGGCCUGUCAGCCUUGAGAUUCUGGGAUAAAACCGACAUUCCGGGGAGGAGACAACAUGGCUGAUUGAAGCCAGCUUUCCACAGAGGCUCCUGUCCAGAAGGAGACUUAAAGGACAAAAAUUCAGCAAGUAACCUGGUGGAUUUGAGCUGCACUAAGAGAGAAGGUUGUAGAACGCACGUCAACCCCGCUGAGGUGAGCUGCGACCACAAGGAUACAAACAAAAGACAAUUGUGUAUACCCGGAGUCUGCUAAAGACUACGCCAGAUGCUUGAGACACGGCUCGGGACUUGACAGAUGUGAUCAUGCUCCUUGUGGAAUUAUCAAGGCAAAGAACAAGAUUUAAACACGUAAUUGCAAGUAUUAAAAAGGAAGUGCAGAACAUCGUAAGAGCAUUUAGAGAUAGAAGUUAAACAAACCUGCUGGGUCAGGGAAGGUCUCUCUUAGGCAAAGAUGUUUCAGUUAAACCUAGAAGGAAAAAGAGAAUUUAGCAUAAAGUACAAGGAAAGGGAAUAUUGGCAGAAAGAAAAGCAGUUGACCUUUAGGUGGCCGAGAAGAGAUCUUGUUGCCAGUCGAUUCCUCAAAACAAGGAUAGAUGUACGGUUAUUUCCGGGGCACUGAGUAAUGAAGGAAUUAAUGGGGUAAGAGUAGAAGUAGAUUGCCAAUCACAUGGGAACUUACAAGUCAGGAAAAGUUUUCAGAAUUAAUCCUAAGCCUAAUGGUAAUAAAAGAAAUAAUAGGAAAAAUCACUUCAGUGUCCAUUUUACUACCGUGUCCAGAAUGACCAGGUAAGUGUGAGUGGAAGGCACCAAUUCAAACAGACAAUCCAUUUAGGUGAAUAUUAGCAUCAAUUAGGUGGUGGUGUCUCAGUAAGGGACCACCAUACAUUUGACUAAAUACGUGACAUUAUGGAAGGAGAUAAAGUGAUAAAUGUGAGAGAGGUUUAUGUGAUGGUUAAUUUUAAGUGUCAAAUUGACUGGGAGAUAUUUCUGAGUUUUUUUGGAGGUGUUUCCAUAAAAAACAAACAAAUAAACAAACAAAAAACCUAGCCUUUGCGUCAGUAGACUGAAGACCUAUCAUUUCCAUUAUGAGAAGGUAUCAUCCACUCCAUGAGCCAGGAUAGAGCAAAAAGGCAGAAGAAACAAUCUGUUCUCUCCAAUCUUACGAUGAAAUAUAUACCUUCUCAUGCCUUUUGACAUUGAAGCUCCUGUUUCUUGGACCUCCAGACUGUGGGACAUAAACCAGUGGGGCCCCUCUACUAGUCCCUGAGCCUUCAAACUCAGAUGGAAUAAAGCCAGCUGAUUCCCUGGUUCUCCAGCUCGCAAAGAGCUGAUGGUGGGACUUCUCAGCCCCCAUGAUCUUGGCAACCAAUUCUCAUAAUAAAUAUACAUAUACAAACAUACAUGUAUAUGUCUGUAUAAAUAAAUAUAUACAUGUGUACAUACGUAUAUGCAUUUAUUAAUCUGAUUGAUUUGGUUUCUCUGGAGAAUUUUAAAACAGUCUGUGAAUUAGAUACAAUAGAAUUGAAUAUUAAUUAAAUUAGGAGGUAAAAAUGAGAGGACAAGCCAAUUGUAUGAUCCUAGUUACCUAUCAAUUAAAAGUAGGUGGUUCUGCUAUUUACUAUGAUAAACAUUUGCAGAGAUCAGGGAAUGAAGGAAAAAAAGAAAUUUUUGUUUGCACCCACUGAAUUUAAGUUUCUUAUGAGUCAUCCCAAUGGAAAUAUAAAUCACAAUCAAAACAUAAAUUUGGAAUUUUUGUGUGACUUAUGAGCUGGGUGUGAGUUGAGCUGGAAGUACAUUUUGCUAAUAAAGCGAAUGGAAGAUAUUAUUUU